Molecule: long non-coding RNA, 3740 nt
Filed under: Lynx pardinus (Iberian lynx)
Lineage: Eukaryota; Metazoa; Chordata; Mammalia; Carnivora; Felidae
Source: RNAcentral
GGCUCGAACCCACGAACCGCAAGAUCAUGACCUGAGCUGAAGUCAGAUGCUUAACUGAGCCGCUCAGGCAUUCCGCUAAAGUUGUUCUUUAAAAAAUACUCAUGUCUAGGCCCACGGCUACCCCCAUUAAAUCAGAAUCUCUGGUUUGGGGCCUGGGCCGAGACCCCCACUCUGGUGUCACCGUGACCCCAAACAUUUCAUUCCACUGCCAUCAUUCACACACUCACCCCGAGGGAGAAGGAGUGACCCCCCCCAUUCACUUUCUGGGGCCACCGUAACCACCACCACAACCUGGGUGGCUUAAAACAACAGGAAUCCACUCUGUUCCAGGGCCCUGGGGCCAGAAGUCUGAAGUCCACGUGUCAGCAGAGUCAUGCUCCCCCCAAAAGUUCCAGGGAGGAUCCUUCCAUGCUUCUUCCAGCUUCUGGCAGUUGCCCACGAGCCUUGGCAUUUCUGGGCUUCUAGCUGCGUCCCUCCCAUCCCUGCCUCCCUCCUCAUGUGGCCUCCCUCCCUAUGUCUGUCCAUGUCCCUGUUUUCCCUUCUUACAAGGACACCAAUCAUUGGACUGGGCCCACCCUUGUCCAGAAUGACCUCAUCUUAACUAUUUACAUCUGCUAAGACCCUUUCUCCAAAUAAGGUCACAUUCCGAGGUUCUGGAUGGACAGGAAUUCCGGAGGGGCGCUAUUCAACCCAGCACGUUGAGAAUGGGAACCCAGUGAACCUUGUCAGGACCAGACGAUACAGCGACAGGUGCGGCCCCCUUCUCCACUUCCUGCAGUAACUGUGCCUCUGUUAUGGCCCCGGGCCUCCUCUAAGAAACAGGUCUGAGGCUCGGCUCCCUCCAGGUGUGCAGGCGUGACAAGGUGGUGUCUCCAUAAGUGUCCUUCUGGAGGAUCCCCAGGGGCUCCUGGGCCUGGGGGGAUGGGAACUGGGAAAGCCCCACGGGUCGUGUCAUCUCACUCCGUCCUACCAGAGAAAGCGCUGCGGUGUUGAUCUUCACCUAACAGGCCCUCAAGCCCGUUGCUGAAUUGGUUCCAAAUUGCAAGGUUGGGGAAGAGAAUGAUGAUUGGUGAUCACCCCUAAGAAUAAUUACACACAGCCCAGAUCUUGAGCCAAACAUCACCUGAAGGAGACGCACAUGGAUUCAUUCAAUUCCACAGCCAAAAUAUGAGGUCAGGACUCAUCGUCCCCUUUUCCCAGGUAAGGAAAUCAGGGUUCAGAGAAGUCAAGUACCUAGCCCAGAGUCUCACAGCUUGUAAGAGGCAGGGAACUGGAGAGGUGCCUGGGUGGUUCAGUUGGUUAACCGUCCGACUUUGGCUCAGGUCAUGAUCUCAUGGUUGGUGAGUUUGAGUCCCGUGUCCAGGUCUGUGCUGACAGCUCGGAGCCUGGAGCCUGCUUCGGAUUCUGUGUCUCCCUCCCUCUCCCUGCCCCGCCCCUGCUCACACUCUGUCCUUCUCUCAAAAAUAAACAUUAAAAAUAUAUAUAUAUUUUUAAGAGACAGAGGACUAGAUUUGAGCCCCAAAACCUGGCUCCAGAGGCUGUGCCCCAAACCAGGUUUCUGGAAACUGUGGCCCGUGGGCCAAUCUGGCCUGCCUGGGCAUGUAUUUGUAUGGCCUGCAGGCUGAGAAUGGCUUUUAACCCAUUUUUAAAGGGGAAGAAGAGGGAAAGGAGGAGGACGAGGACGAGGAGGAGGAGGAGAAAGAAGAUAGAACCAAGGCUGUACGUGGCCCACAAAGCCUAAACUCUUUACCCUGUCCCUUUAUGUUAAAAGUCUGCCGUGAUGCCUCCCAAGUCCCCUACAACGACUAGGAGAGGAUCAAAAAUGAUACGGAGGUUGCGGACAGAAAUCUGUAUCCGCAGGGUCAGCGUGUAAGAUGCCCGUGAAAUGAUGACAAAUCACAGGAGCACAUAGCUCCCAACUCAGGCCCACGACCCAGACGAGGCCAAUCACAGUACAUGUAUUAUGUUCCCAGGCGUAAUGACUGGUUCAGGCAGUAGUGUGUGAAAUAAGUCAGGUCAGUGAGAUGCAGUCUUGGGACUCUGCUAUAAAAUAGUCUUAAGAAUAAAGAGGAGGAAGGGGAGGAUUUAUUGGCUCACAUAAUUGAAAGUGUUCUCUUGCCAGCUUCAGGUACAGCUUGACCUAGGUGUCCACACAUGUACUUGCUUUCUAUUGCUGCAUAACAAAUUACCACAAACUUGGCAGCUUCGGCCAAUAAGGGUUUAUUAUCUCACAGUUCCCAUGGGUCAGAAAUCAGGCUAUGGGUUAGCUUGGGUCUCUGCUCAGGGUCACAGCAGACUGAAAUCAGGGUCUGACUUUAGCAGCCUUAGUGAAAAAUGUUUGAAGCUGCAAGUCAUUUCACAUUCAGGUUCCUCUUCCACACUUGCUGGCUGUGGAAACGAUCCCCGCCUGUUUGCUGUCUGUCACGGAAAGGCCACACGCUGCCAAGUGGCCUUCAUCACAAGACAGCAUUUUGACCUUUCAGGGCCAGCUGGAGCAUCUCUGAUUCCAGGGAAGACCCCAGUCCCUUUUCAGGAUUUACACCUGAUGGGUCAAGCCCACCCAGGAUUUUCUCCCUUUUGAUUCAUUCAAGUUCAACUGAUAGGGGUCCUUAAUCACAUCUUCAAAAUCCCUCCCCUUUAUCUCAAUCAUGGGAGUGAAAUCCAUCAUAUCCACAGUCCUGCCCACACCCAGGGGGACAGGGUUCUACGGAGCCUAUAUAUCCGAGAGGGGCAGGAAUCUUGGGUGCCACCUUAACAUUGCAAUGCAAUCCAUCUACCCCACAGCUCUCCUUCUGCCUCAGUUCUAAGCCCACACGUGGCCUCAAUUAGCACCCAGUUCAAACCCGGAAGUAAGAAAGCUCCUCUCAAUGGAGUGAAUGAAAAUAGGCCCUUUAUCCCCAUUGGCUCAAAAAGGAUCGCACACCUAUGUCUGAACCAAUCACCGGACAGAGCAUGGAAUGCACAGAUUGGCCAGGUCUGAGUCACAUGCCCGAAUCCGGAACAAGAAGCCGAAGCCACGUCACUAGAGGCUCUGGUGGAGGAAAUCCAGGAGGGACCAGUUUCCCCAUAGGAGAGGAGAGUUCUUGUUAUAAAAGCUGGGCACAUGGGGACGCCUGGGUGGCUCAAUCUGCUAAGUGUCAGGCUCUUGAUUUCAGCUCAGGUCAUCGCCUUACGGUUCGUGAGUUUAAGCCCUACAUGGGGUUCCACACUGGCAGUGCGGAGCCUGCUUGGGGAUUCUCUCUCCUUUUCUGCCCCUAACCCCCCCCCCCCUCGUGUUCUCUCUCUCUGUCAAAAAUAAACUUUUUUUUUAAUGUCUCUAUUUAUUUUUCAGAGACAGAGUGCGAGCAGGGGAGGGGCAGAAAGAGAGGAAGACCCAGAAUCCGAAGCAGGCUCCAGGCUCCGAGCUGUCAGCACAGAGCCCGACGCGGGGCUCGAACUCACGAACCGCGAGAUCAUGACCUGAGCCGAAGUCGGACGCUUAACCGGCUGAGCCACCCAGGCGCCCCAAUAAACAUUUUUUUUUAAACUGGACAAAUGGACCCUGAAAGCAAUCCCAGUUCUCCCUCAAAAAAGCAAAAAUCUGUGUGGUCCAUACAUACUCUCCUGGAUAGACUACCUUAUUUUAUCUCCAGUUCAAUGCCAUUUUUAUCAUCCAAAUUUCCAACCCUUUCCCUGAUUCCUAACUUCUAUGUUAUUGCAAUGUUAGCUUACAAAUGUAUAUUCACCUACAUGCCCUGCAA